GCAAACUAAAAGAAAAAAUUUCUACGAAUACACUAAUAAAAUAAAUUAUUGACAUCAUUAAUUAAUUAUUUACUUUAAUAUAAUUUUGAUUUAAUUUAAAUAAUAAUUUAAUAGAUGUAAUUCAUAUACAUACAUAUGAAGAAGAUUAUAUAUAAAGUUGAAGUAUAGUGUGUAGUUGGUUAUUAAUUACAUGAGCAAUUGGUUAUUAAUUAUAUGUGCAUUUAAUAGACCAAAGUUCAAAUCUUGUACUGUAGCUUGCAAUCUUCUCAAAUCUUUUAAGUAAACAGGUAAUAUGAAUCAUUAAACGGGUUACAUGGGUUAUGUUGUAUAACCUGUUUAACUGACUUUUUUGAUACAUGGGUCAUUAAACGGGUUAUUCGGGUCACGUCAUGUGACUUGUUUAGGUGUUUAUUAAACAGGUUACACGAGUCAUAUCGCAUGUGACAUGUUUAAUAAAUAGGUCAUGGUCGUGUUGGAAGUUUAUGACGCAAUUAAGCAUAAUUGUGUCGUGUUAAACAUAAUUGUGCCGUGUCAAAAUGAGAAACAACCUGCUUAAACACGACACGACACGACACGACACGACACGAAUUGCCACCUCUAGCAACCAAGCUCUCAAAAGUGCUAUAAGGCUUGUUCUACAAGUUAUUUCCAUACACGCUUUCAUACCUAUUUUCCAAGGCAAUUAUUAUAAUUUAAGUUAUAGGUUUAAUUUGAGAGAUUAAAAGUACCGAUGUGGCACUUUUGUUAGGUGUUAAUGGGGCAAUUAACGAUAGAAUUCAAUUGAACUGAAGUCUAAAGUUCAAAGUAGAAUUGUUAAUAUAUA
This 823-nucleotide unclassified non-coding RNA is filed under the name Hevea brasiliensis (rubber tree). Lineage: Eukaryota; Viridiplantae; Streptophyta; Magnoliopsida; Malpighiales; Euphorbiaceae. The record is from RNAcentral.